GUUACUGGUCUGGAAGGGCCUCUGAAGAGUCCAGGAAUAGGUCUGCUAACCAAAGGAAUGACCCCCUCACAGAGACCACCACUGACUGCCAUGUGAGCCGCCGUCCCUCCAGCUGCCCUCACUCCACCGGCUGCUCCCUCUCACAUCCCUCUCUGGAUUCCUUAUCACAAGGUGUGUGACCUUUGGCAAACUACUUCAGCUCCCUUGCCUCACAGCGUAAUUCACAUGUAAAAUGGGGACUCCCCUCAGACCUCCUUCAUAAGGUUGCUGUAUGGAUUCUGUGAGUUAUUUCAUGAGUAGUCCUGAGAACAGAGCCUGGCAUAAAGAGUAGAAGAGUCAAGAUUUACAUAAAUCCCUAGAUUCGAAUUUUUAUCCUUCCUCACCUAUAUAGUUCAGAUACCAGUACAAGUUGGGUGACUUCUGGCUCUCAUCCUCCAAGAAGAGGGAAAGACUGAGGAAACGAGAACCAACGCAGUUAUUGCUGAACCCAGGAUAAUCAGAACUGCUGGAGUCAUCCUGUGACCAUAGAGGGAGAUUUCACUGAAUCCUGAUGAUGGCAGAAGAGAAUUAUGAAGAGUGCCUCCGUCCUUGAAGACUCUGUUGAGCAGCCAAACUGACCCUGGAACUGCCUAUUUCAAAAUUCCUCAUGAAGGAAUAACCUAUCUACUAAUGAUCAGCACCUGUGUCUUUGUGUCUGAGGCCAAGAAUAAAUUCAUCAACUGGGUAGCCACUACAGCAGAAGAAGCCAACCACAGUCAAUGUUGACUACGCGUCAAGUUGCCAGAGGCCACAGGAAAUGGACUACCUUGGAGAAUCAUCCCUGCCAACAUUUCUGAAUGGCUAUGUCACUACCAAUGGGGCCACAACAACAACACUUGCAACCCAACCUGGACUUCCUUUGACCAAAGGAAGAAAUCUAUCUUUGCCCAUGUCAGACGAAAGGUGAACACCACCCUUGCCUUGUGUCAAAAGCUUUGGUAUCCUGCCCAAUAUGCCUGGAACAGUAUAUAUUGGGAAACUGCUGUGCUGGUGGCCAGAUUCCAUAUAGCCCCCCACUUUGUCUGGAGGCCUUAAAUGGCUCCUCUAAUGUUACUCUGGGGUUUCUCCUGCCAGACAACUGUCAACACAUACUCGAAAUCAACAACAUUGUCCCCAGUGAAACACAAUCUCUUUCCUGCUUUAAUAACACCUUAAUACACUAUAAUUACAAAAAAACCAUUGCUGUACCCUGGUGGGGGCCCUGUGGGUAUGCAGAUCCUACGAGUGGCAAUACCUGCCCCCACAUUGGAUGGGGAGAUGCACUUAGAGGUGGCCAUUAAUUCCAUUCACCAUCCAGGAUAAUAUUCCCCUCCCCAGUAAUCUGGACUCCCUGGUGGUGGUACCCUAUCACAGUAUUCUCCCCUGCCACCGGUACAAUCCUGCUUCAGCAAAAAAUUAAAAUAUUAAGCUUACAUGUAGAAGAAGCUCUUAAUGAUAGUAGCAUUGGACUUAUGUUGCUAUCAAAUGAAUUUGCUCAGCUGUGUACUGUUGUGUUACAAAAUCGAAUGGCAUUAGAUAUGCUUACCGCAGCCCAAGGAGGGGUUUGUGCCUGACUGCAUACUGAAUGUUAUGUGUAUAUCCCUGAUAAUUCUCACAAUAUCACUCUCCUUGAAAAGCCAUGGUGGGUGUGGUUUUUAUUAAUUGUGCUUUUAAUUCUCCUGUGCUUAUCCUGUAUCUGUAAUCUGUAUCAACUAUGCCUUCCCCAUGUAUCUGUAAGGGUAUUUUUCUACAAUUGAGUAUCAAAUUGAGGCUGAGUGUGGAGGAAAAGUUAAAUAUUAAAUUUGAACUCAAUUGAACAUGACACAAACGAUGGUCACCAAGUCCCAGAACAGGUUGUGUGAGCCCCUUGAGGCGCUCAUCCAGUGCUGAUUCGGAGAAAUCUCUAUUUCAGUCUAUUCCUAUAUGUUAGUUAUUUAAAAAAAUAGACAAUUGCAAAAACAAGUUGACCUUUUUGUGUUCCUUGAGCCCAGUCACAAAGGGUUCUCGUGACUGGAAAUCAUGCCAAACAACUCAUUACAAAAAGAGUUAGGGUUCCAGACUGCGCAAAAGCAUCGUGAGACCUCUCCUCGUCUGUGCAUGGAUGAGUGGCCGACUCUGGAGCCCAGGCUAUUGAUUCCUGGUCUGAUGGUGAAUCCUCCAUAGUCUGGUGAGUGUAAAUAUAUAUAUGUAUACACAUAUAUGUAUAUGUGUGUGUAUAUAUAUAUCUUUUCCCUUCUCCCCUUCCCAUUGCAAUUUGCUUUUGCUUAUAUCAUUUGCUUAUUAUAUCAUUUGCUUAUUAUAUCUAUAUUGCCAUAUACUUGGGAUAAAGGCUGUCUACCCUUAAAGGUGCUGUGUGUGUGUCUUUUCUUCUCCCCUCGCACGUUUCCAGCACAGAACAAAUGACCAGGUAAUAACCCAGAGGGUUUACUGUAAUUACUUAAGCAUUCCUCUAUUAUUGGAAAUGUGAGCAAUUUCCAAUUUUUCUAUUAAAAGUAAUGGAGUGAUAAACAAUUCUAAAUAUAUUUUUGGUUCAAUUCUUUGAUUACAACCUUGCAAUAGAUUGCUGGAAGUUCAUUCUACCUUUUUAAAAAGUUAAAAUAACACAUAUUAUGCACAGUAGCUAACCCAAAGAAGCUGAAGUCCCAUUAGACUGUGAAACUUUUCCGAGGUAGAUUCUAUUCCUCUAGAUAGUAAGGAAAAUAUCCGAAAUUUGUUCCCAGCCCUAUUCAUUGAUUUCUGCAUCCAUUCAAUAAAUAUCUGAGUAACUGCUAUCCAUCAGACAAAUAAACUGUUGGAAAGCCAUUUAACCACUUUGAGACCUUGUACUCUGAUCCAUAAUAAACACCAAAUGGUCUUCACAGCUGAAGACCAUUUCCUGAUCCUUGCAAUGAAG
RNAcentral lists this long non-coding RNA (2911 nucleotides) under Homo sapiens (human). RNAcentral describes it as "HSALNT0328367". The record is from RNAcentral. Lineage: Eukaryota; Metazoa; Chordata; Mammalia; Primates; Hominidae.